UUGACAAUUAAUUAAUUCCCAGUCUCCUUCGUCCCUAACACCCCCCCCCACGGUUUCUAAAUAGAGAAAACAAAACCAACAGUUGAAAACACAGUUGGGUUAAUUUUUUUUCAAAAUUAAACAAAACCAAUAACUGAUUUUCCUUUUGUCCCAAACUUUUCAUCUUCUUCUCAUUCGUUUUCAGCAUUGUUAAUUUUUUUUCCUUCAUCUUCUUCUCCUUCAUCUUAACAGUUUCAAUCUUUCUCUGUAAACCACCAAAAACACAGACCCAUGGCAACAUCGCACCAGACCCAUCAUUAUCACCCUUUCUCUUUGUAAACGGGUUGGGUUUUGCACUCUCUUCUUCAAUAAAUCAGGUGUUGUUCUGUCGUGUAGAUUCAUCUCGCUCAUCUAUAACUCAAGAACACAGGAGCAAGGUGGCUGGUUGAAUUGAGUGUUAGCUCUGCAGUUUUUUUGUGUAAUUUAUUUUUCAUGCCUUGAGAGAUCCUUUCCCACCUAAUUGCCAUGGAAAAAUCACUCACAUCCGCAAAGGGAGGAGAUUUGUGAAGCCAUCAAAUUUUACGAAGGAGAUGGAUGCUGAUAGGGUAUGAUUGCUCAAUUUUGUAAACUGUUACUGCUUGAUAAUAUUGUUAAAAGUCAAUUAGCAGAUGCUCUGACUUGCAUUGGAAAUUUUGUAUUUCCUUACUGAUAGAUUACUAUAUUUAUUGAUUUGAAAACCAGUGUACUUGUAAGGGUGAAGCAGGUACUACAUAUUUGUUUUGUAUUCACAGCCUCUUUAAGAUGCACUUUGAUUUAUUGAAGAGUUUAAAACCCAGAUAAACUUGUUCUUUGGGUGAUAAUUAUGCGUCUAUUACUGAUUACCAGCGCUCUUAUUACAGUGGGCGCUGAGUAUGAGCUGACGCUAUAACUGGUUCAGUUUUGUUAGAUUUGGUGGCUGGUUCAGCUAUCCACUUUAUGCAGUUCUGGAGAAAUUUUCUGUGUGUUUUUGUCAUCUGCUUUUUUUUAAUAUAGUUUUUUCCAGCUGCAGAAUUUGAUUAUUGUGGAGAUGUAAGGGAUGAUUAUUUUCCCAUAUGUGGAGAUUAUACUGUGCAACUGCUCUUAUAGAAUCCAAGCCAGUCCUCUGCUCCUUCUUCAUCUUUUAUUCCUUUUAUCUGUUUUUUUUUAAUGAGGAUGUGCAAGAAUUGCUGUAUUUUUUUAACUCAAAUAGUGAUCGAAGUUCAGCCCAAGUCCCAAUGCAAAUCACUGCUAGCAAUGGUAUGGCUAGUGUAAAUAACUCACUCACCACAGCAUCUACAACCACGUCUGCCAGCACUAUUGUGGGGCUUCUCCACCAAAAUUCAAUGAAUAAUGCAAGCAGUCCCUAUGGAGGAAACUCUGUUCAGAUUCAAUCUCCUGGUUACUCCACCUUGACCACUAUAUCCUGGUUCAUUUUGUGUAGAUCCAAAAUAUCAUGGUUCGUCUCCGCAACCAGCACCAUGAUUGUAUCUUUUGUUGUUUUUUUUUAUUGUAUUUCAACUUAUUUGUAUUAAUUCAAGUUUAACUAAAUUUUUAUAAUAUGAAUAUUAUUUUUAUUCCAUUUUUUAUUAGUGAUACAAUUAUUUUUAAUAUUAAUUUAUGUUGGUUAUAUAUAUUCCACAAUUUUUAAAAUAUCCAUAAAUAAUUAAUUAAACAAAUUAAAAGUCAUUUUGAUAAAUAAAUAAAA
Molecule: long non-coding RNA, 1702 nt
Organism: Populus trichocarpa (black cottonwood)
Lineage: Eukaryota; Viridiplantae; Streptophyta; Magnoliopsida; Malpighiales; Salicaceae
Exons: 4
Source: RefSeq, a predicted model, not a curated record